RNAcentral lists this non-coding RNA (63 nucleotides) under Bilophila wadsworthia. RNAcentral also lists the same sequence under 1 other name. The record is from RNAcentral. Lineage: Bacteria; Pseudomonadati; Thermodesulfobacteriota; Desulfovibrionia; Desulfovibrionales; Desulfovibrionaceae.
ACGCGAAACCGCCCCGCACAGGGGCGGUCACCGGAUGAUUUCCGGUCUGAUGAGCAGAAGCAA